GACGAACCGUACGAACGUUAUUCGGAAUUACUGGGCUUAAAGGGUGCGUAGGCUGCACGGAAAGUUGGGUGUGAAAGCCCUCAGCUCAACUGAGGAAUUGCAUCCAAAACUGCCGUGCUUGAGGGAGACAGAGGUGAGCGGAACUCAAGGUGGAGCGGUGAAAUGCGUUGAUAUCUUGAGGAACACCGGUGGCGAAAGCGGCUCACUGGGUCUCUUCUGACGCUGAGGCACGAAAGCUAAGGUAGCAAACGGGAUUAGAUACCCCCGUA
Molecule: ribosomal RNA, 269 nt
Filed under: uncultured prokaryote
Description: partial 16S ribosomal RNA
Rfam family: Bacterial small subunit ribosomal RNA
Source: RNAcentral